RNAcentral lists this ribosomal RNA (255 nucleotides) under uncultured prokaryote. Its description in RNAcentral is "partial 16S ribosomal RNA". It matches the Rfam family "Bacterial small subunit ribosomal RNA", at positions 523 to 777 of the family's 1533-position model. The record is from RNAcentral.
AGACAGAGGGGGCAAGCGUUGCUCGGAAUCACUGGGCGUAAAGGGCGCGUAGGCGGGAUGGCAAGUCGGUCGUGAAAUCCCUGGGCUCAACUCAGGGGGGUCGGCCGAUACUGCCGUUCUUGAGGGAUGCAGAGGAGACUGGAAUUCCCGGUGUAGCGGUGAAAUGUGUAGAGAUCGGGAGGAACACCGGUGGCGAAGGCGGGUCUCUGGGCAUUCCCUGACGCUGAGGCGCGAAAGCGUGGGGAGCAAACGGGA